This 428-nucleotide ribosomal RNA is filed under the name uncultured Legionella sp. RNAcentral's name for it is "bacterial SSU rRNA". It matches the Rfam family "Bacterial small subunit ribosomal RNA", at positions 438 to 869 of the family's 1533-position model. The record is from RNAcentral. Lineage: Bacteria; Pseudomonadati; Pseudomonadota; Gammaproteobacteria; Legionellales; Legionellaceae.
UGAGGGUUGAUAGGUUAAGAGCUGAUUAACUGGACGCUACCCACAGAAGAAGCACCGGCUAACUCCGUGCCAGCAGCCGCGGUAAUACGGAGGGUGCGAGCGUUAAUCGGAAUUACUGGGCGUAAAGGGUGCGUAGGUGGUUUAGUAAGUUAUCUGUGAAAUUCCUGGGCUCAACCUAGGGUGGUCAGAUAAGACUGCUGACUUUGAGUAUAGAGAGGGUAGUGAAUUUCCGGUGUAGCGGUGAAAUGCGUAGAGAUCGAAGAACACCAGUGGCGAAGGCGGCUACCUGGCCUAAUACUGACACUGAGGCACGAAAGCGUGGGGAGCAAACAGGAUUAGAUACCCUGGUAGUCCACGCUGUAAACGAUGUCAACUAGCUGUUGGCCUUAUGAAUGAGGUUAGUGGCGCAGCAAACGCGAUAAGUUGAC